This 68-nucleotide transfer RNA is filed under the name Apostichopus japonicus (Japanese sea cucumber). RNAcentral's name for it is "tRNA-Ile". It matches the Rfam family "tRNA". Rfam says of the family: Transfer RNA (tRNA) molecules are approximately 80 nucleotides in length. Their secondary structure includes four short double-helical elements and three loops (D, anti-codon, and T loops). Further hydrogen bonds mediate the characteristic L-shaped molecular structure. tRNAs have two regions of fundamental functional importance: the anti-codon, which is responsible for specific mRNA codon recognition, and the 3' end, to which the tRNAs corresponding amino acid is attached (by aminoacyl-tRNA synthetases). tRNAs cope with the degeneracy of the genetic code in two manners: having more than one tRNA (with a specific anti-codon) for a particular amino acid; and 'wobble' base-pairing, i.e. permitting non-standard base-pairing at the 3rd anti-codon position. Lineage: Eukaryota; Metazoa; Echinodermata; Holothuroidea; Aspidochirotida; Stichopodidae. RNAcentral also lists the same sequence under 1 other name. The record is from RNAcentral.
GGACUUACUCCUAGUUGGAAUAUCUGACCGAUAAUCAGACAGUAGAGGUUAAAGUCCUCUUAAGUCCU